This 489-nucleotide ribosomal RNA is filed under the name uncultured Paenibacillus sp. RNAcentral's name for it is "partial 16S ribosomal RNA". Lineage: Bacteria; Bacillati; Bacillota; Bacilli; Caryophanales; Paenibacillaceae. The record is from RNAcentral.
CACGUAGUUAGCCGGGGCUUUCUUCUCAGGUACCGUCACUCCGAUAGCAGUUACUCUAUCGGACGUUCUUCCCUGGCAACAGAGCUUUACGAUCCGAAAACCUUCAUCACUCACGCGGCGUUGCUCCGUCAGACUUGCGUCCAUUGCGGAAGAUUCCCUACUGCUGCCUCCCGUAGGAGUCUGGGCCGUGUCUCAGUCCCAGUGUGGCCGAUCACCCUCUCAGGUCGGCUACGCAUCGUCGCCUUGGUGAGCCGUUACCUCACCAACUAGCUAAUGCGCCGCAGGCCCAUCCUCAAGUGACAGAUUGCUCCGUCUUUCCAGAUUCGUCCAGGCGAACAAAUCAUGUAUUCGGUAUUAGCUACCGUUUCCGGUAGUUGUCCCAAGCUUGAGGGCAGGUUGCCUACGUGUUACUCACCCGUCCGCCGCUAAGCAUCAGAGAAGCAAGCUUCUCAUCAACUCCGCUCGACUUGCAUGUAUUAGGCACGCCGC